CCAGCAGCUGCGGUAAUUCCGGCUCCAAUAGCAUAUAUUAAAGUUGUUGCAGUUAAAAAGCUCGUAGUUGGAUUUCUGGGAGGGCGCCAAUGUCAGCUGAUGCUUGUGCAGCGGUGCCCUUCCAUCCUCCUGUUAACGUUUCUGAUAUUCAUUUAUUGGUCUCGGGCUCAGAUAUUUUACCUUGAGAAAAUUAGAGUGUUUAAGGCAGGCACUAGCCGCUGAAUACAUUAGCAUGGAAUAAUGGAAUAGGACGCCUUGUCCAUUUGAUUGGUUAUUGGACUUGCGUAAUGAUUAAUAGGGACAGUUGGGUGCAUUAGUAUUUAAUUGUCAGAGGUGAAAUUCUUGGAUUUAUUAAAGACUAACUUAUGCGAAAGCAUUUGCCAAGGAUGUUUUCAUUAAUCAAGAACGAAAGU
Molecule: ribosomal RNA, 413 nt
Filed under: uncultured eukaryote
Lineage: Eukaryota
Description: SSU rRNA
Rfam family: Eukaryotic small subunit ribosomal RNA
Source: RNAcentral